Molecule: long non-coding RNA, 1517 nt
Filed under: Musa acuminata (dwarf banana)
Lineage: Eukaryota; Viridiplantae; Streptophyta; Magnoliopsida; Zingiberales; Musaceae
Description: long non-coding RNA (MACU_LNC001509)
Source: RNAcentral
CUGCGCGUUUCCUCGAACACUAAGCAACCCUUCCAUCAUAUAAUACGCCCCUCUCUUCCCCCUCCCUCGUUCUCCCGCAUCCCCUUUGGUUUCGCCUUCUGCAUUCAUUUUGAUCCCCGUAGAUGAGUUACUAUGGUCAACAGCAGCCUCCUCCCCAAGGUACUACUCUCUCUUCCUCCUCUUAUUAGCGAGAGGACUCUGUUUCAAGUAACUUCUAGAGAUCACAUACUCUUCUAACACUCACUCUCACAUGCCAUCGUACAUCAAAACAAGAGUGUAAGCUUACAUCCCAACCCACACUAACAUUGUUCCUCCUCCAAUUAGCAGCCAUCAGAACAUGAGUGUCAAAGACAACAACAAAAAAUGAUUACUUAAUGUCAAGCAUUGUGAUAUGCGUUCAUCCUCCGACCCUUGCACCCUUCCAAUCCAUGUAUUAGCUAGUGAUGAUCUUACUGGAUUCUGUGGGUUGUGUUUUAACGUGCAGCUUACCCCCCACCACCCAGUGCUUACCCUCCCCCGGGGCAGACUUAUCCCAUGCCACCUCAGGUCGGCGAUCCGGUGAAGGAUGGAGGAGCUGUCGUUGCGCAACCAGUCUCGGCAGAGACGCAGAGCCGAGGAGAUGGCUUCUGGAGAGGAUGGUGACCGCAAACGUUUUCUUCUAGUGCUACUGAAUCUAUUUUGCUACUUUGAUCUGACUUCGACCUUCCUUUCCUGUUGCAGCUGCGCUGCGCUAUGUUGCUGCUGCCUUCUUGACAUGUGCUUCUGAGACCAGUGGAAUGGCAGCUGACCUCUCAAUGCAUACAUCGCUUGAGCAGUUUUAAGUUCUUGUUUAGCUUAUCUAUGUAAAUGUUGGACUUCAUUGGGAUGUAGGAAAUCCUUGAUGUGAUCUCUACUGUUCUACGGUGACAUGUACUGCUCAAGCUAGUUGCUUGUUUUACUAGAUGGGUAUGCUUCAGAUUGCUAUAAAAGGUGGCUCAUUGCAACUACAUGAGGCAGAUUACUUCGAUACAGCUCAAAUAUGAACUUUGUGAGAAUGAAAUAGAUGUACUAACUAGUGAGAUUAAACUUGAAUUCAUCUACAAAAUCUGUGUGGGUAAAAGGAGAAGAGGGAAAGAUCAUAACUUUACCACUCUUUCAAUUGGAACUCAUGAUCUGCACCAAGAAUUCUCAAACCGAAAGAUCAAACCUUUAGCGGCGGAAGGAUCAAACCGCGACCAGCCCUUCGCUCGGAGUUCAUGAAACACACCACGAAUCCCCGCCCACGCCCGCUUCACUUACCCAUCGUCAUCAGCCGCGUUCAGCAUCGUUCCAUCGGGUUCCACGCGCCGCUCUACUUCUUGACCAACGGAACCACCAUAUUUCCAGAACCCCAAAAAGGGAACGAUUCGGAAGAGGGGAUUCCACAGGGAUGUCACAAAAGAUCGGAGGCAAUUCGGAGUCGAUUCCCGGAAUCUGAUGCAGGGUUAGGGUUUCGAAAGAGCGAAGGUGUCGGAGGAAGAAGAAGAGAGAUUAAUUUG